Molecule: non-coding RNA, 71 nt
Organism: Cordylochernes scorpioides
Lineage: Eukaryota; Metazoa; Arthropoda; Arachnida; Pseudoscorpiones; Chernetidae
Source: the annotation of a GenBank genome assembly
GUCGGUGGUGUAGUGGUAUAGAACGUCGACUUUCGAUAGCUACGAUCCGGGUUCGAAUCCCGCAUUGGACA